GGCCGGUUACGUAGUAGUCUGGUGGUUAAGUAAUACUAGUCUGUGGUUAAUAGACCAGUUUCACAUAAGCUACUAAUCAACGCUGAUCUCGAAAUCUUCUGCGCGUUUGAGUUUAAAUCUCGCGAUAAUUAACGAUAUCAUACGUGACAGGGGGCUACUGAUAUUUAGCAACACAAUAAUAAAUCAACCGCUUAUAAUUACUGCGUUAUGUACAUUGCUGUAUGUCAGUUUGAUUUUUCGUGAAAAGAGAAAAAUAUUUUGAUAAAGAGAAAACAGCCUAAACAUCAGAAAUUCAUUUAAUUUCAGUUCUGUUCCAGUUUUUCUUAAAUAUUUUUUAUUUUUUACAUCUUCUUCACAUGCAUGUAAAGGGUUUUUACGGUCUACAUAUAGGUUUAGUAUCAUAGACUCGAACUUUUAAUUUUCUUUUAAAAAAAUACAGGUUACUGUUAUGGUGACUUUUGCAUGAAAUUUUAUGGGUACAAGGACAUGAUACCGGCACUACUAAAUAAUCGAAAUUUCAAAUAAUGGUAGUACAAUGUAGGGGAGUAUAAUAUAUAAUGUUCAACGAAAAUUGAUAGAAUUUUUCCUUACAUACUCUUGUCAAAGAUGUAGUACAUAAUUAUUGUGAUAUGCUAACAAUAUGAAAAACACAAUGAUAGGUCACCGAGUGUUUUCAAGCUAUACGCUGUGAAAAUAUGAAGCAUUUUGUAUGGAUUAAACAGAGGCAUUUUUAAGGUAAAAGUAUCAUUAUAUGAAUAUUUGAAGGUAAAACAAAUGAUAGAAUUCCAAAGUAAAAUGUGAGAAAAUAGCUCUUUAUAAACGUUCAGAAAACAACAGAAAAAAUGGAGUCACCAUGCGUUUUAUCCUGUUUAGCGUACAUGGCAUAUAACAUUAAUAGAACACUUUCCUAUUGAUUGUAAUAGACACGUAGUAGACAGGGCCCUGGUACCGUGUUGAAGACCGUACAUUGACCUAUAGUUGUUAAACUUUUGAUACAUUGUGACAUGGACUGAUCGACAGUUGAAUCAUUGGCACUCAUACCACAUCUGCUUAUUUGUAUGUACAUUUGUUUCAAAUAUUUCUGUGUCAAUGAUGUUUUAGACGGCCAUGAUAUAAAUGAAGUGAGAUAUAAGGCAGUUUUAAAAUACGUAUCAGAAAUACAGGUUCAUCUUCAAUUUUCAAAGAUCGGACUAUAAUACAAUGCAUUCAAUAUCAUUUUAAUUUCUAAGCUAUGUUCAUGAUCGAUUUCGUCUAAGCAGAGGUUCAGUGCCAGCGGGGCGAGUAAUUUUCUACAUAUUGUCAACUUUAUCAUUUUUCGUGCCAUUAAAAGUAAUUGAAUAUCCUGUAUUUACAACAAGCGAUGUAUGCCUUAAAUUAAGAUCAAAUGCUGAAUGACCCCCUCCUAAAUUAUUAAAAUAUUCCCAGUGGCAUUAACCACACUGGCCAUGAUAUCUCAGUGUUAAUAAGGUACCAGGGUUAACAUUUUAAACAUCUGUACUAGGGGAUGACCAUUUGAUUUUCAGGAGGGGGGGGGGGUAGAAAAAUAAUAUUCUUAGACUAAUUUCCUAAUAAAUAAUUAUGACCUAGGCAGGAUGGAAAAGAAUGAUCUGCAACACAAACUACAGGAAAUAAUUGUGUACAAAAGUUAAAUGAAUUAUCAAACGGUCGCCCUUUUUCAGUAACUGUAUAUACAGAAAAGGGUACGUUUUAUCAAUUUUCACCUGGUGAGAUUAUACAAGGUGAAACGAGGAUUCCACAUGGCCAAGGUGUUAAUUGCCUUCUUAAUUUAUGACCUUAUACUAUGUAUAUGAAGUGAGCCCCGCUUAUUUAUCUAAUUUAUUCUUCCCGUUAGGUGAACGAUCUCAGCGUGAAUUCGUGACAUUUAAAGGUACAAUUAAUAUAAAGCCAGGCGGCAUAUCAGAUCGUAUAUAAUACUGCAAUCAACAACACAGCAGUAGUCCGUUUUAAAAUCUUUUAUUGUGUCAAUUGUUAAUAAUUAAAGUUGUCUGGUCAAUAUAAAUUUUAUAUUUUGAUUCAAAUGAUGCUCAUGUUGUUAGAAAUGACCCAAAUGUAAACGCAAACACUCAAUCAGAUGCUUGUUUUUCCAAGUCUUAAUGGUCACUGCUUACAACCGUUAGCCCCCAGUUGAUAAACUCUCGAGAAUUAUCGCGUGAUUUCAUAGUUUUGCUAAUUAGAUUAGACAUGCGCAGUUAAAUGUGAAACUGGUGUGUCAAACUAUGCAAUUAACCCCUGACGGAUACAUGUUAUUUCACAGCAGACAUGGUCAUUUAUUGGCUUCAGGGUAUUGUUACACAAUUGUGUAACAUAAUGCCUUCAAUCCUAAUAGAACGAAAGUUCAAUAAAAUACGGUAUUUUUCUUCCUGUAGGUUAUUUUAAUAGUUUAUUGUAAGGUUUCCGGUAACCAUCACCAC
This 2432-nucleotide long non-coding RNA is filed under the name Mytilus galloprovincialis (Mediterranean mussel). The record is from RNAcentral. Lineage: Eukaryota; Metazoa; Mollusca; Bivalvia; Mytilida; Mytilidae.